RNA transcript from Xiphophorus couchianus (Monterrey platyfish), 3289 nucleotides. It is a transcript of the gene named SUN domain-containing protein 2-like, with no coding region annotated. The record is from RefSeq and is a predicted model, not a curated record. Lineage: Eukaryota; Metazoa; Chordata; Actinopteri; Cyprinodontiformes; Poeciliidae. The transcript is spliced from 8 exons.
UUUACUGACCACAUUUCCCUGUCUUUGUUUUUUUUUAGUCAUGCAAAGAACAAGUGAACGUUUGAGAAACAACGGAUAUUAUGACAUGUAUGGAAACCCGGUUAUUUCAUACAGAGAGACGCCAGUCAGGUAUAUUAAAUCAGCAAUUUUUUUAACUCUUAUGUUUCAUGCAGUCAUCUGCUGAUCAAUGUAUAUCUUAACUCACUUGUAUAUUUUCCAUCUAGGGCUAGAAAGAGGCGCCCUGCAAAUAGGGAAGUAACAUUUAGAGGAAGGAUUGAUAGUCGUGAAAACUACCUGACUGACCAAGAAAUACAGAUGAUAGACACUCUGAUGAAUCUGAUGCAGUUUGGUUUUAACAUCUUUGUCUUUGUCUUUCUCAUGUUCGUUGCUUUUGGUUUAUCAGCUUGUUUUAAGAGGAUUAUUUCCCUGCAAUCACAACCUUCAGAGUUAUCUGCCACACCAACUCUAAUAGACAUGGUUGCAAUCUCUGGAUGUAAGGAUGAGGGACAUCCCUCCAGGCUGCAGUUGUUGGAGAGAAAGCUUGACUACCUUCUACCACAAGCAGAUCUGUGGGCCAACUUUGCCCUGGAGUCUCAAGGAGCAAUGAUUUUACACAAGGCAAGCUCAACUACGUAUCAGAGCCAUAGAGCGUGCGGAUUGUUUGGGACUUCUUUCAGGCUACCUCCUAUUAGCCCAAACAUUGUUAUUAAGGGAAGAACUACUUUGGAUCCAGGACAAUGCUGGGCCUUUGCAGAUUUCCCGGGACGUUUAUCCAUAGCACUGUCCCACAAAGCCACCGUCACCCAUGUGUCCCUGGGUCAUAUUCCCAAAAUUGUUUCCCCAACUUCCUCAAUCUCUAGUGCUCCUAGAGAAUUUUCUGUCUAUGGAAAGAAGAAUUUAGAAGACGGGGAAACUCAUUUGGGAACUUUCUUGUAUGAUGAAGAUGGCGACCAAAUACAGACCUUCAAACUUCCUGCCAAUAAAGUUGAUUCCUUCAGAUAUGUAAAUCUACAGGUGAACAGCAACUGGGGCAAUCUGGACUACACCUGCCUUUACAACUUCAGAGUACACGGUGUACUUGCAAAAUGAAGAGGACAAAAAGGAGAAGAUGGAUAAAAGAUAUGAAAGGGAAUUUUUUUUUUCCAUACACAUAUACAUAAAGGCCCUCAGACAUGUACAAAAGGAACCAAUUGCUUAUAUGUUUUACAGGAGUGAUGUAUAUUGUCAUCAUUCAUUUAUAUUAUUAUAGUCUAGACUUUGUUCUAAUGGAUUGGGAAUGAGGGCUGCACAAUGGCGCAGCACUGCUGCUUUGCAGAAAAGAGGUUCAGACAUAAUAAAAGUGGCUUGCGUGGGUUCUCUCCGGGUACUCCGGCUUCCUCCUACAGAAAUAAUAAAAGUGGCUUGCGUGGGUUCUCUCCGGGUACUCCGGCUUCCUCCUACAGAAAUAAUAAAAGUGGCUUGCAUGGGUUCUCUCCGGGUACUCCGGCUUCCUCCUACAGUAAAAACGUGACUGCUAGGUUAAUUGGUCUGUCCAAAAUCUCCUUAGGUGUGAGUAUGUGUUGCAUGGUUGAUUGUCCUGUCUCUCUCUACAUAGAGCAGGAUUCAUUAACACAUCUUUGAAAAUAAUUCUUAUUUUCUUAACCUCCUCCCAAAAAGCCCUGGUUUUGUUGCAUUGCCAUAAGCAAUGUAAUAUUGCCCCUUUCUCCUCCAUGCAUACACAAAUCUAGAAUGAUGGGGUUAAAUUAUUCAGUUUUACAGGAGUGAUGUAUAUUCUCAUCGUCCAUUUAUACUGUAAUAGUCUAGACUUUGUUCUAAUGGAUUGGGAAUGAGGGCUGCACAAUGGCGCAGUUGGCAGCACUGUUGCCUUGCAGAAAAGAGGUUCAGACAUAAUAAAAGUUUCAUGCGUGGGUUCUCUCCGGGUGCUCCGGCUUCCUCCCACAGUAAGAACAUGACUGUUAGGUUAAUUGGCGCUGCAUGGUUGAUUUACAUAAACUGUUGUUACAUUCAACAUACACUGUCUGAGAACAUUAACAUAUUCAAACAUAAACUCUGAAAACAGUACAUGUUUAUUUCUUAAUAAACAUUUUAAAAUUUUUGUCCAGGAUAUGGGAACACAGCAACAUCACUUUGUAGAUAAUGGUGAACUAACACAAUUCUUUAAGUUCUUUCACAGGUACUGAAGUUUAACUUUUUGUUACAUGUUAUUCGUUCAGGACUGACUCCAGUGAGAGGUAGUUUACUGCUACAGGCUCAGACUGCAACAGUCUUGGCACUAUUUUCUGUCAAUAUCUAUCUUAUAGACUGAGCACUACUUUCAUAGAUCUCCCUUUUUUAACAUGUGUAACGUAAACUAAUAUUGUAACUAAUUCUGUCUUUCUUCUUUCACAGGGUUGCUGACAGUUUUGUGUUUGUGUGUGAAUUUUUAUUUUUUUUAUUAUUUUUGCCCUCUUGAAGCCAGCCAGCUUCGGCAGAUGGCUGCUCAUCCUGAGCCUGGUUCUGCUGGAGGUGUCUUCCUUUUAAAGGGAGUUUUCCUCUCCACUGUUGCCUUGUGCUUGCUCAGGAUGGGGGAUCCCUUGGAUUAAACAUCCAUCGCGAUCUGCUGGUGACCCCUCCGCAGAAUCGCCACCUUAACGUGGUGGAGGGGUUUGAGUAUCCCUAUGACCCAGAUGGAGAUUUUGUCUUGGGGUUCAGCCAGUAGUGAGGCUUCCCAGGGCAGGCUGUCAUUAGGGAGGGAUCAGACUAAGAGCGAUUCAAGGUUUUUAAUGAAAGACUACCAGAGGGAUCAGGUAUUUCUAGGAGACAGACAGUUAUCCCAAGUCCGGUUUUGCAGGAAGUUUCUCCCUAUAAAAAGUACCAGAAUGCGAGGCACCUAAGGUCAGAUGGGGACUAAGACGACAUCAACAACAUAUCAGAGCCAUAAAGCAUGUAGAUUGUUUGGGACAUCUUUAAGGGGACUUUGGUCUAUUUGGCCCAGAGGCUUCCGUUCCACAUGGCCAACGUGUGAGCAGUGUGAGACAAGUGGAGAUUUGAGACAGACGCACGGGCGUGGAAGGUUGUGGCUCAGUACUUGGAGAGGAGCCGCUCACCCACACUUGAAGGAGGUACACACCUUGGAGCAGUUGUGUUCCCCUGAAGGAGCCAAUGGGUCCAAGCUUGAAGGAGAACUGCGCAUGACAGAGGGCCAGAAGGAGGCGUGCACAUGUCAGUUCAGCGGAUCUUGGGCAGAAAUGCUUGGGCUUCUGCUUACAUCCUCUUGACUUGUCUUUUAAAAAUAAAAGCCUCUAAAGUA